UAAAAGUCGUAACAAGGUUUCUGUAGGUGAACCUGCAGAAGGAUCAUUAGUGAAGAUUUGGGCAGGCCAUACGGACGCCAAAAAGUGUCCCUGGCCGCCUACACCCACUAUACAUCCACAAACCCGUGUGCACUGUCUUGGAGAAAGGCUUCAGAGAAGUUUUUUGUGGCCUCUCUUGGGGUCUUUCUUCGCUACAAACUCGAAUGGUUAGUAUGAACGUGGAACUUGGUUGGACCGUCACUGGCCAACAAACUAUACACAACUUUCGACAACGGAUCUCUUGGUUCUCCCAUCGAUGAAGAACGCAGCGAAACGCGAUAGGUAAUGUGAAUUGCAGAAUUCCGUGAAUCAUCGAAUCUUUGAACGCACCUUGCGCUCUAUGGCAAUCCGUAGAGCAUGCCUGUUUGAGUGCCAUGAAAUCUCCCACCCCAAGCGGUUUUUAAAUGAAACGGCUUGGCGGAUGGGGUCUGGAUGGGUGCCUCUGCCUGCGCUACCUAGCACAGGCUCGCCCGAAAUGCAUGAGCGCCUUGAGACACUUUGCAUCCGCCUCUCUGUUUGGGAGGAGGCGGCCAAGCAGUGUUUUUCUCCUGGCAUGGCAUGAUACGUCAUUUGCUAUGUCGCCUAAAGGAGGAAUGUUUGGUUGUGUCUGCGUGUGCUUCGAACUUGCCUCUGUGGCACAUCCCAAUUUCACUUCUGGUCUCAAAUCAGGUAGGAUCACCCGCUGAACUUAAGCAUAUCAAUA
RNAcentral lists this ribosomal RNA (742 nucleotides) under uncultured eukaryote. Its description in RNAcentral is "eukaryotic LSU rRNA". The stretch from base 261 to 414 matches the Rfam family "5.8S ribosomal RNA". The record is from RNAcentral.